GGAGAGGUGGCUCAGCUUGGUACGGCGCCGGACUCGAAAUCCGGUAAGUGUUUAACGCACACGCGGGUUCAAAUCCCGUCCUCUCCU
RNAcentral lists this transfer RNA (87 nucleotides) under Streptococcaceae bacterium. RNAcentral describes it as "tRNA-Ser". It matches the Rfam family "tRNA". Rfam says of the family: Transfer RNA (tRNA) molecules are approximately 80 nucleotides in length. Lineage: Bacteria; Bacillati; Bacillota; Bacilli; Lactobacillales; Streptococcaceae. The record is from RNAcentral.